This 585-nucleotide ribosomal RNA is filed under the name Ascomycota sp. KI.38. Its description in RNAcentral is "eukaryotic LSU rRNA". The stretch from base 274 to 427 matches the Rfam family "5.8S ribosomal RNA". The record is from RNAcentral. Lineage: Eukaryota; Fungi; Ascomycota.
CUUGGUCAUUUAGAGGAAGUAAAAGUCGUAACAAGGUUUCCGUAGGUGAACCUGCGGAAGGAUCAUUUCUGUUUCUAUAGCUUUGCGUGCGCUGCCUUUACGGGCGUGCGCUGCAGGCGAAAACCUUAUCACACUUGUGUUUUUAUUGAAGACAACUUUGCUUCGGUCGAAUGGCGUAAAAACCUUUGGCCAGAGGAUAUUAAACUCAAACUAAAUUUUUAUUUAACAAUAUGUCAGAAUUUUAAUCUAUUAAUUUAGAUAACUAAUAUUCAAAACUUUCAACAACGGAUCUCUUGGUUCUCGCAUCGAUGAAGAACGCAGCGAAAUGCGAUAAGUAUUGUGAAUUGCAGAUCUUCGUGAAUCAUCGAAUCUUUGAACGCACCUUGCGCCCUCUGGUAUUCCGGAGGGCAUGCCUGUUUGAGUGUCAUGUAGACUCAAUCCUCGGGGUUUCCCGGGAUUGGACUUGGGUGUUGCCUCUGGCUCGCCUUAAAUGCCUUAGCUGUGGAGUGUCAGUGGACGUAAUAAGUUUCGUCCGCAAAGCAUGACUGCGGCUCACAACCCCAUCUUUUGACUUAGACCUCAGAU